This 246-nucleotide long non-coding RNA is filed under the name Mustela putorius furo (domestic ferret). RNAcentral's name for it is "lncRNA (ENSMPUG00000030459.1)". The record is from RNAcentral. Lineage: Eukaryota; Metazoa; Chordata; Mammalia; Carnivora; Mustelidae.
UUCUUUUCUUCUUUAAACUCUUGUAUUUGUGGUCACGAUGCUGGAAAUGGGACAUUAUUACUUUCUUUUCAGAGGUUAGGGACUGAGGCGACGGGACGCCUGACAUCGUGCAGCUAGCUGGACAGCCAGAAUCAAAGAGAACCAUCACUGUUUCUGCAACCGCCCUCUGUUUUCAUACCCUGCUCCCGAGUCAGGUAAGUGCCACGACAUGAAAGAGUGAAUUCUAACAGAAGUCCAAAGGAGGGG